CCUACGGGUGGCUGCAGUGAGGAAUAUUGGUCAAUGGCCGAGAGGCUGAACCAGCCAAGUCGCGUGAGGGAAGAAUGUCCUAUGGAUUGUAAACCUCUUUUGUCAGGGAGCAAAGUCACCCACGUGUGGGUGUUGGAGAGUACCUGAAGAAAAAGCAUCGGCUAACUCCGUGCCAGCAGCCGCGGUAAUACGGAGGAUGCGAGCGUUAUCCGGAUUUAUUGGGUUUAAAGGGUGCGUAGGCGGGUUAUCAAGUCAGCGGUAAAAUCGUGGAGCUCAACUCCAUCCAGCCGUUGAAACUGAUGAUCUUGAGUGGGCGAGAAGUAUGCGGAAUGCGUGGUGUAGCGGUGAAAUGCAUAGAUAUCACGCAGAACACCGAUUGCGAAGGCAUCUCACGAAUCCGCGAUUGACGCUGAUGCACGAAAGCGUGGGUAUCAAACAGGAUUAGAUACCCGUGUAGUC
This 459-nucleotide ribosomal RNA is filed under the name uncultured bacterium. Its description in RNAcentral is "partial 16S ribosomal RNA". It matches the Rfam family "Bacterial small subunit ribosomal RNA", at positions 338 to 795 of the family's 1533-position model. The record is from RNAcentral.